Long non-coding RNA from Rosa rugosa (rugosa rose), 4242 nucleotides. RefSeq lists it as uncharacterized. The transcript is spliced from 3 exons. Lineage: Eukaryota; Viridiplantae; Streptophyta; Magnoliopsida; Rosales; Rosaceae. The record is from RefSeq and is a predicted model, not a curated record.
UUGUCCAGUAGCCUCAGUCUGCGACGCAGACCGAGGAAUUUCCAAAGCAACAAGAGCCUCACACUACUUAUCUUCGAAAGCGAAAUGCCUCAAGCAAUCCACAACCAAAUUCCCUUCUUGUGGAAAAUCUCACCCCUUGUUGUCCAGUAGCCUCAGUCUGCGACGCAGACCAAGGAAUCUCCAAAGCAACAAUCUUUCUUUCGCUUUCUCGUAAACAAGGCUAGGCUAGCUGUGGAGGAGGAAGGUGGUGAUGUAAGAGGUGUUACCAAAGGUGAAAAUUCCAAGUUGAUAUCUCCCGUCCAGUUUCUUUUACUGUAAAAAUCGUGUACGAGGCCCGAAUAGCCACAGUGGAUUGUGAUAUUUGCCACAUUAGUGUAGAUGUGAAAUUGAUAGUUGGUUUCAUGUCAGUUAUUGCGUACUUGUUAGUUGGAAGACUUGCUAGUAAAGAUUUGGUAGCGAAGGAUUGCAAGUAACAUGGUGACAUUGAUCAAAUAAUAAUGGAGGUGCUUCCUCUUGUGCUUAUUCCAACUCCAAAAGUAAGAAGACUUAAUAUUAAGGAUUAAAUUAUGUUUAGUCCCUGUACUAUGACCUUUUUUUCGUUUCAAUCUCUGACAUUCUCAAUUAAUCUGAAAAGUCCCUAACAUUACAAUUUUCGUCUGAUCGGUACACUCCGUCAAUUCGGGCCGUUAACUUGCUGAUGUGGCACUCCAAGCCACACCACCUCAACAGUGUGCAUGCCACUUGACCUGUAAAUUGUCCAAUAUAUCUCCCAUGCAUUUUCCCCAUUCUUCACCAAAAAAUAACUCCAAAAUGAUUCAAUUUUUCUCUCCAAACCCCCAGCAGGCUAGCAUACCAAAACAGAUGCUUAAAUGCAACUAUGAUUUCAUCAUUUCAAAGCAACUACUGAAGCCAAUUGAUACAAACACACAUAUAGUAAUAACAAGACAAGACUGAACAAAUUAACACACUCUGUAAAACAUAUGCAAAUUAACACACUCUACAAAACAGAUGCAAAUUAACAUACUUUGCAGAAAAGAUAUAAGACAAAGGCAAAACAAAUUUCAUUUACAAUUUUCAUCUCAUAUACAAGGCAAAACAGAUGCAAUUCGAACCUAGAAAUCGAACCAAGGGCGCAAGGCAGCAACUGACCAAGCUUGAAGAAUCCGAAAUUGAAAAGUCGAAAGCUGAAAUCGAACCUAGAAAUCUUCAUAAGCCUUGAGGACGUCUAUGCUUUGCUGCUUCACCUGCUUGAGUUCGAGGCGAUUGAAGACUGAAAAUUGAAUACCCAGAAGCGACUGUUCUUGAAUUAUGAUCACAUAUAUGAAUCAUCCAUCACUCUUUACAAUACUUUCAUCAUCUUGAUAAAACAAACAAACAAAACCAAACUACACUAACAAUCACAGAAACUGACCCAAAAUCACACCACAACAACAAAUUGAAUGCUUAUUUCACUCACAGAAAUACGAAAAACAACUUAAAGGUUCGAAAUUUAUUGGGAAUUUUACUUACAGAAGCUGAAUUGUAGCUGAAAAACCCAAGCUUUAUGAAGAUUUGGAGCAGAAUCGGACGAAUUAGAGCAAUGAAACGCCCCCUAUUUUCGAGAAAUCGAAGAAAUUGGGAACCAAAGCCGAACCAAAUGUAAAAUUGAUGGAGAAAUUGACCUCCGAAUGUAAAAUUGAUUCGAAAACUGAAAUCUUCGGUGGCUGCAAGGACCCCAACCAAAACACCGGAAUCUCUAUCCUCAACUGCAAGGUCACCUCAGACCUCCUUCCGGUCAAAUCCACAUUCAGACCACUGUUCUUUCCGAUCUUGAACCUCUCCUCAAACCUCUUCUUGGUCUCCUUCAAGGAGGUGACUUUCUUUUCCUCGUUGGUGAGCACGUCCGGGUGACGACCUCGAGAUCAACGUCGAGAGUGUAGAGUGUGGCAGAGGAUCACGGCCCUAAAGGAGGAACACGGCCCUUGCGACCGCCGUAGGGACCCUGAAGGAGGAUCACGACCUUGUUUGGCUUCAAAAAUUUGACCAUGGCGAUAGCGCUCCUCCCUCUCUCUAAGCUCAGAAAGCUCCAUUGAUUUGGUGUGAGGAAGAACAUGUUGCAGCAAGAAAAACAAUAGAGUAGAAUAAAAAAAAAAUUAAAAAGUUAAAAGGGGAGGGCUAUUCUUGACAUUUUACCAUCCAUGGACUUACGUGGCGCUGAGUUGGCGUUUAAAUUUGUGCCACGUCAGCCAAUUAACGGAGCAAUUGGACGGAGUGGACUAAUUGAAAGGAAAUUGUGAGAUCAUGGACUUUAUAGAUUAAAUUAAAAUGUCAGGGACCGAAACGAUAUUGGAGGCAAAGUACAGGGACUAAACAUAAUUUAAUCAUAAUAUUAAAGAGCUGGACGACUUUUCUCUUCACGUAGGUGUCUGUCUAUUUUUGUUGAAAAGUUUGUCUCCAACUACAAGUAGUUGGUCACGAUAAGGCCUUAUGGUGUUGAGUUAAAUUUGCGUAGUCUAUUUUAGAUGCCAUAAUAAGUAUGAUUUUGGUUAAAUAAGAUUGGUGAAGUCUUGGCUAUUCCAAUGUUUCCAUUUUUAUUAAUUCAGGCUAUUUUAAAAAAUAGAAAAUUGUAUAACUUAUCUAGAAAAAGACAUCACCCUAGACUGGUACCAAUUGCGUUUGUGAAGCGAAAGUACCAAUAUAACCUCAUCAGAUUGGUGAAGUCUUGGCUAUUCCCCUUCAUAUUUUCGCGCUCGAUCUGGGAAAUAUAACCUCAUCAGUUGUAUUUUGCAGAAUGUUUCCAUUGCGUUUGUGAAGCGAAAGUACCAAUAUAACCUCAUCAGUUGUCUCCCUCACAUAACGCCCCACCUCCUGAUUUCAGCACAAAUAAAAAACAAAACCCCAAACCCCCAAUUCACAGCGAAACGCCGCCGUUUCCCACUCCAAAAUUCGUUUGCCGAAGUAUAGAAAUUGGUAUCUGGAGGAAUGCUGUUCUCUGGAGCUCAAACUUUGUAGCUUUAUUGGGGGUAUCAUCACUUCAGAGAUAUGCAAGUGAAUCUCCAAAACCAUUCUGUAAAACCAGAAAAUUGAUCUUCUUUGUUUAGGAUAUAUAGGCGACAACAGAGCAGUUGAUGAUUUUGACGAGCAGACUUGGAGCAGUUUUGGUAUGUUAGUUUAGACCACCCCACCCUCUGAAUUAUAGAUGGGAGUUCUACUAGAAAUUCUGAUAACCUAUUAUUUCCCAUUUGGACAUUUGAACUAAAUGUGUAGGAAAUUUUGACAGUGAAAAGAGUUUUGUUAUAACAAAUGUGCUAUUAUUCUUCGCUUUCCAAAUGAUGUCUUUCUUAUAUCAUGGGCAACUCUUCUGUUGCAUUCGAUAGAAACAAGCUUCAUAAGCUAUAUAGUAUAUUGGUGACAAGUAAUGCUAGGAAUACCAUAUAUAGGCAUAUAGAUUGAAUUGUAAUGUGAUUUGAAAAUGGCACUGCAAGUAAUAUUGCAUUUUAUUGGUUUUCCUUACAAUCCAGUACAAAUAUAUAAUGUAAUACACUUACCGUUCGUGAUUCUGACCAGAUUGCUUUCAUUUCUUUGAAAUGAUGCUCAUCAUCUCCCACUUGGGUUGUUUAUCUAAGAGAAGAUAGUCUCUUGAGCAAAAGUGAGACAUGAUCCAAGACUCUGCUCUUUUAUUACUUUAGAAUCUCGGCGAACCAACCAGUUAAAGAGAAUAGACGUCCUUGCAGUUAUAUUAGACUCGGAGUUUAAUCUUGGGAAGUCUUUUCCAUUUUCUUGUUCAAUUUUCAGACAGAAUCCCUUUUACAUUGUCUCCACAGCUUCAUCAUCUGCAAUAAGAGAAGCAUUGAAAUUGUUGAGAAGGGUACAAGCGAGUGAACUUUUGGCGGGUAGUUAGGGGAAUGCUGUAAGUAAAUUCAGAGCGUGAAAUAGGGGGCAACUCUGUGGCCACGAUCAGCAUGUCCAUGUGCUGAAACAAGAAAAGGUAGAGAUUAAGCUUUUGCAGCUGGAGAUGAUCUUUGCACGAUGAUGGGGUGGAGAGGAAAAGAGAACGAAGCUGCUCAUGGAUAAUUGGAUAUGUGUGGUUGUGUUUCUCUCUAAUCUACUGAUUGGAAUUUCUUGAGCAGAAGUAGGAAUGAUCACCAGUCAAUGGGUGGAUAGACUUUGACAAGUAGUACUGCUCUCUUUUCAAUUGCGUUAUUUAGUCCUUGCAAUUGGGAAAUGUCUUCAUGCAUAAAUUAUUAGUCCAAUCAAAAUAGA